This 304-nucleotide small RNA is filed under the name Arabidopsis thaliana (thale cress). RNAcentral's name for it is "ATSL272950". Lineage: Eukaryota; Viridiplantae; Streptophyta; Magnoliopsida; Brassicales; Brassicaceae. The record is from RNAcentral.
AAAAAACAAUUAUUAAAUGUCAGUGGCAGCCACUGUAAAUAAGUCCCAACUUCAGGAUUUAUUUCACAAAGUGGUUGCAAAAAUGUAUAUGUAUGUAUAUUUCUGAUAUGGUUCAAAUUACGUAGAACUACUCUCUCAAAUAAGAGAUCAAUUGCAGUAUUUUAGGAUCGAAUUCACGGAGUUCUUUUGUUCAAACAGUGAAUUAAAUGUCGAGAUUAAGCUAGCAGGGUAUGAGUGAAAUAGUAAGAAAACAACAAGAUGAUUGUGUUGUGAACGAUUUAAUAAAGAGGUAGGAACAGGGUAU